AAAAUGCCUGGAAAGAAACAAAAAUUGGGCUGGGAGAAGAUGAGCUGUUCUAGAAGGCCUUUCUGAGCCAAGGAGGAAUAUUCCUUUGCUCUUCCUGAUACUCUACAAAUUCACAGCCCCCCAGACACUUUUGCCUUUAGAAAAGAGCUGCUUUCUAUGUCUGCUGUGACCAAAGUCACUCAACUCUCCCAAAUUGUAGGAGCAACUUUGGAGGGAAGGUUGAACACCUGAUCUUCCUGUAAAAGCUGCAUUUUGUUUGGAAGUUGCUCGACACAUCCCAGGCUCAUGUUUGUGUCUGUCCAUCACCAAGUCCUUAAGAGAUGUAAUAAAAGCAGGAGUGGAACAGCAGAUCUCCAGCUUUCAUCUGCCCAGCACACUUCCUCUCUGGAACCCAACCGUAGGGCCCUGUUAAAGACUGAGAAUCCCUUUCACAGGAACUGUUGGUUUUAUCACCAAAGUCAUCACUUAAAACACUGCUGGGAUUUCUUAGGGGGGGGAAGAAAGAGCUGAAUCAGGUUUUUCAGGAGAAUGGGCCUCUGUUCAAGAGGAGAUGAAGGAUAUUUCAUCAGGACAGUGGAAAACUUGGUGUGUCAGUGCUGGGAUGAAGGUCAUCUGCUGAUUGCACGUUAUCUUGAAAGGAGGAAUUGGUGCAGGUUACCAAAAAUCUCUGUUUUCCCCUCAGCUUUGAGCUGUUAGUGCCUCCUGUUUUCAGAUGCUUUCACUGACAUCUGGCAGUGAUUUAAACACUGACUCACAUUCUGUCAAAAAUGUCAGUAAAAGUGACCUUCAGCAUUAAAAUUCUCAUUUGUUUCUCUUUCCAGUAAUUUUUAUGGGAGAAAAUGGAAUAUUCCUGGUUCAAAUGGCCAGUUACUGUUUCCCAAGCAGUUUUCAGCACUCUGUUUUGUCCAUCCCCGUGGCUGAGAUGUGCACUCCACACAAGAAAAAGACUUUGCAUUUCUAAUUCCGUCCUGCCAACUCUGGUUCAUCCUGGCUCUUGCUGAUUCUUCAUUCCAAAUGUUUGAGGAGUCGAUGUGGUUGUGUCAGAAAUAUGAAACAGCUCUAUUCCUCAUAACCAACAGCAGUGGCAUUUGGAGCUGCCUGGAACCGGUGCUGCUCCCUGAGGUUUUGAGGGGUGAGUUGGGUUUAGAUG
Cyanistes caeruleus (blue tit) is the source of this 1150-nucleotide non-coding RNA. NCBI's taxonomy places the organism in Eukaryota, Metazoa, Chordata, Aves, Passeriformes, Paridae. The record is from RefSeq and is a predicted model, not a curated record.